Molecule: long non-coding RNA, 771 nt
Filed under: Oryza brachyantha (malo sina)
Lineage: Eukaryota; Viridiplantae; Streptophyta; Magnoliopsida; Poales; Poaceae
Description: long non-coding RNA (OBRA_LNC001367)
Source: RNAcentral
GAGCCGCUCCUCCUCCCGCCGCUCCCUCGCCGUCGCCACGUACUCCUCCAUCACGUCCACCGCCGCCGCCAUCCCGGUUUCGAUCUAGGGUGAGUUUUCGCGGGAGCGGGAGGCGCAGUUUUGGAGGGAGAGGGGAGCGGCGGGAGUGCCUGUAUGUUUUUAUCCGCGGCUCCGCGCACAAGUAGGUCCGAUCUUCUAUUCCAUUUAAUUAAUAAAAAUUUAUAAACGUGUAAUUAUAAUUUUGCAAAGUUAGAUAUAUAUUAUUGGUAUUUCAAUGACACAUAUGACCUGUAUCAGUCAAUAACAUAUGGGUUAGGAUGACAUAUUUUUAAUUUUGCAUAAUCAUAGUGCCAAUUUUGUAAUUUUCCCUUUAAUUUAAUUCAUAUCCCUAAUUUAUCUUUAGCUUAUCCGGAAGGGUGUUUGAUUUAUGUUGUCACGUGAGCCAUACGAUCUGCAGGGCUCUCGAUCCCAUUAAAUGUUGGAAAUUUUAUCUUUUGUGUAUGUAUGGCUUUCUGAUCGUUGCAGAAUUAAUGAGCAAAUAGAACAUGUAUCUUCUUCUAAACAAGAAAAGGUCACUUACCAAAAAAAACAGAAAAACUACGAUACGGGAUUUCAUACCGAUGGGACGGUUUUCUUACCACGUACCACGCAGUCUGCGUUUUAUCACUCUGAUGCUCUCCCCCGUGCGUUUGUGCCGUUGGCGUUGCCUCCAUGUACCCGCGUCGCGCUGCUCCUCCACGCUGCUCGUCAUCGCUCCUCCGUGCUACCCCG